Molecule: ribosomal RNA, 254 nt
Filed under: uncultured bacterium
Lineage: Bacteria
Description: partial 16S ribosomal RNA
Rfam family: Bacterial small subunit ribosomal RNA
Source: RNAcentral
CACGUAGGGUGCAAGCGUUGUCCGGAAUCAUUGGGCGUAAUGAGCUCGUAGGCGGCUUAGUAAGUCGGGUGUGAAAACCCCAGGCUCAACCUGGGGACGCCACCCGAUACUGCUAUAGCUAGAGUCCAGUAGGGGAGUGUGGAAUUCCCAGUGUAGCGGUGAAAUGCGCAGAUAUUGGGAGGAACACCAGCGGCGAAGGCGGCACUCUGGGCUGGUACUGACGCUGAGGAGCGAAAGCGUGGGUAGCGAACAGG